RNAcentral lists this unclassified non-coding RNA (239 nucleotides) under uncultured fungus. RNAcentral's name for it is "partial contains 5.8S rRNA and ITS2". The record is from RNAcentral. Lineage: Eukaryota; Fungi.
AACGCACAUUGCGCCCUUUGGCAUUCCGAAGGGCAUGCCCGUUCGAGCGUCAUUAAGACCAAUCAAGCCUGGCUUGGUGUUGGGCGACGGGUGACGAACCCGCGCCUCCAUUCCCUCGGCUGGACGGUUAGAAUCUCAGCGUUGUGCAAAUCAAUUCGCUCGAGAGGACGAGCCGCCCGCGCCGUUAAAACUCUUCAAAGGUUGACCUCGGAUCGGGUAGGGAUACCCGCUGAACUUAA